RNAcentral lists this ribosomal RNA (117 nucleotides) under Nocardioidaceae bacterium. The record is from RNAcentral. Lineage: Bacteria; Bacillati; Actinomycetota; Actinomycetes; Propionibacteriales; Nocardioidaceae. RNAcentral also lists the same sequence under 1 other name.
UUCGGCGACCAUGGCGAAGGGGAAACACCCGGCUCCAUUCCGAACCCGGAAGUUAAGCCCUUCAGCGCCGAUGGUACUGCGCGGGGGACCGCGUGGGAGAGUAGGACGUCGCCGGAC